AACGAACGCUGGCGGCAUGCCUAACACAUGCAAGUCGAACGAGACCUUCGGGUCUAGUGGCGCACGGGUGCGUAACGCGUGGGAACCUGCCUUUAGGUUCGGAAUAACUCAGAGAAAUUUGAGCUAAUACCGGAUAAUGUCUUCGGACCAAAGAUUUAUCGCCUUUAGAUGGGCCCGCGUUGGAUUAGCUAGUUGGUGGGGUAAAGGCCUACCAAGGCGACGAUCCAUAGCUGGUCUGAGAGGAUGAUCAGCCACACUGGGACUGAGACACGGCCCAGACUCCUACGGGAGGCAGCAGUGGGGAAUAUUGGACAAUGGGCAAAGCCUGACGGAGCAAUACCGCGUGAGGGAGGAAGGCUCUUGGGGUUGUAAACCCUCGUUUUUACUGAAGGAGAAAAAAACUGACGGUACUUCAGGAAUCAGCAUCGGCUAACUCCGUGCCAGCAGCCGCGGUAAU
Molecule: ribosomal RNA, 457 nt
Filed under: uncultured Porphyrobacter sp.
Lineage: Bacteria; Pseudomonadati; Pseudomonadota; Alphaproteobacteria; Sphingomonadales; Erythrobacteraceae
Description: bacterial SSU rRNA
Rfam family: Bacterial small subunit ribosomal RNA
Source: RNAcentral